This 406-nucleotide ribosomal RNA is filed under the name uncultured bacterium. RNAcentral's name for it is "bacterial SSU rRNA". It matches the Rfam family "Bacterial small subunit ribosomal RNA", at positions 355 to 776 of the family's 1533-position model. The record is from RNAcentral.
UGAGGAAUCUUCCACAAUGGGCGAAAGCCUGAUGGAGCAACGCCGCGUGCAGGAUGAAGGCCUUCGGGUCGUAAACUGCUUUUAUAAGUGAAGAAUAUGACGGUAACUUAUGAAUAAGCACCGGCUAACUACGUGCCAGCAGCCGCGGUCAUACGUAGGGUGCAAGCAUUAUCCGGAGUGACUGGGCGUAAAGAGUUGCGUAGGUGGACAAGUUAGCGAAUAGUGAAAUCUGGUGGCUCAACCACACAGACUAUUAUUCGAACUGCUUGUCUCGAGAGUAGCAGAGGUAACUGGAAUUUCUAGUGUAGGAGUGAAAUCCGUAGAUAUUAGAAGGAACACCAAUGGCGUAGGCAGGUUACUGGGCUAUUUCUGACACUAAGGCACGAAAGCGUGGGGAGCGAACCGG